UACCUUUCGUUCCUCGUGUAGGCUCGCCUGCCAACGGGGACCCUUCAAAACGCUUUGUAAUACCUGUAAUUGUCUGAUAUAACAAGCAAAAAUCAAAACUUUCAACAACGGAUCUCUUGGUUCUGGCAUCGAUGAAGAACGCAGCGAAAUGCGAUAAGUAGUGUGAAUUGCAGAAUUCAGUGAAUCAUCGAAUCUUUGAACGCACAUUGCGCCCUUUGGUAUUCCUUAGGGCAUGCCUGUUCGAGCGUCAUUUAAACCUUCAAGCUCAGCUUGGUGAUGGGUGACUGUCCUCCCCUCGCGGGGGGACUCGCCUCAAAAACAUUGGCGGCCGGUACAUUGGCUUCGAGCGCAGCAGAAACGCGGUCUCGAGUCCUCUGAAUCGGCUCCCAUAAGCCUCU
Molecule: ribosomal RNA, 398 nt
Filed under: Sporormiella cf. isopartis UFMGCB 5136
Lineage: Eukaryota; Fungi; Ascomycota; Dothideomycetes; Pleosporales; Sporormiaceae
Description: eukaryotic LSU rRNA
Rfam family: 5.8S ribosomal RNA (bases 97-250)
Source: RNAcentral